Molecule: long non-coding RNA, 770 nt
Organism: Epinephelus fuscoguttatus (brown-marbled grouper)
Lineage: Eukaryota; Metazoa; Chordata; Actinopteri; Perciformes; Serranidae
Exons: 6
Source: RefSeq, a predicted model, not a curated record
AGAGAGAGUGGACUGCAUGUCUUCAGGAUUCUUGUACCACUGCACCAGGGAGCCCCCUAGACCCCAGGAAAGAGCAAGAUACGCAGAUGAAAGACAACAGUGGGCACAGAGGUGACAGCCGAUGCUGGACACCUGUGGGUAUAACUGAAGGCCUAAGACCUGAGCCAAGAGAAGAUGUGGGAGAUCAACAAGUGCUCUGUCCCUCCCUCUCAUCCAUUGGUGCAUGUACAGUAUACACAGGAGCAGGAUGUGUGACUGCUAAAUCAGAAGUCGCUGUGGCUCUAGCAGUUGUUGAUUGACAGCUACCUCAUACUAGGGAGCAAAAGAAGUUCAAGAACAGCCUCAUCCUCUUCUCUUCAAACAGAAGAUCCAGACCACAGGUCCGGCUCUGACAGCCAUGCAGGAGAUAGCGGCUCUCUCUGGUAAACUGAAGGAUGGUGUGCACCAUCCUUAAUAGCCUGGGCUUCUCCAAGAUCAAACUAUUCCCCUUCAAGAACAACACGGAUGCUGAGGAAGAUACCACACCAGCUUGCCAAUUGGAACAUCUGGAUGGUUGGUCAGUUUGCCACGCUGCGGACGGAGAGCACGGAGAGCACACCACAGGACAUGUUCAAAAAAAACUCCAGAGAGAACUAAAGGAACUGGAUGCAGAUCUGUGAUGAAUUGCGGCACUCCCUUGACCAAACCAGCACUUAAUUUACCCUGGUGAAAAUCAUAUCUCUGGGCCGCGACAAGUUUGCUGACAGGAUAUGCAAGAUCUCUGGAGCUCU